CUCCGUUUGUUUACCCAAGUCCCAGCCUAGAUGCCGCAGAUGGAUGUGCCCACUAAUCAGAUCCCCGCAGGCUGGUUCACUGAGCCGGCUUCCGAGCGGCCCAUGGGCUUGCCCAGGACCGGCUCUUCCAGUCGCCUCAACGCGCAGGCGCCGGAGUUCGUGCCGCGGGGCCCGCCACCACCGACGCCGGCGGUUGUGCUGCCGCCUCCGCCGCAGCGGAUUUGCUGCCAAGGAGCAACAGGCGCGGGAGCCGGAAGCGGAGAUGCUCCCGCCCGCCGCGGUGAAGACGGAGCUGGUGUAUCUGGGCAAUUUGGUCGGUUGGCACGGGGUAUGCAUCAAUAGGCACCGUCAUCGCAGUAGGACGCGUGCGUGAUCAAGCCUGGAUGGGACGGUUUUGACACAGCACGUCCUGUGUGCGAGGAUCUCGAACUGGGUCAGUUCGUGGUGAUGUUCUUCUAGGAUUCUUUCGUCAUUUCUUUUACUGCAUCGUUGAAACUGAUCCAGGGUAGUGCGGCGGUGUUGGGGGUUGCGGCGGGCCUCGCCCUCAUCGUCGGCUUCGUCCGCUGCGAUACCUGUGAAGUUAACAAUCUACGCUAUUAUCGAUAGCAAUCCAGCGCUGAAGUCAAGAAGUUACCUGGGCAAAAACAGUAUACCCGAUUCUAGGUGAGAAGCUCAAAGAAGGGGAAGACAUCUACAUCUAUCAGGGGUGACAAAUCCUUUUGCUAUGAAGAUGACCACAGGGUUCUUGUUUGCGAGUUCAUCCUCUAGAAUGUAUUGGGUUGUCGCCACGAAAAAACACACGAAUACAUAAAUUCAAAUAAUUUCUGGUGCUGUGGAGUAUUCAUAAUUGUGUGCUUUUGUUGAAUCCUUCAUGUACCAUAAUUCUUACUGCUUUCAAGCCCUUUUAGAAUAUGACUUUAGGAUGUAGAAAUUGGUGAAAGGAGACAAGAAAUUAUUCUCUAAACUACUAUUUUUUAUAGGCAAGGGAGGCUGGAAGCACCUUUUUUGCAUGGGAGCUGCAUGGAGAGAAAUUAUUGGCAGAAAACAAACUUAGACCAGAUUCUUGAAUGUGCCAAGGGAAUAAGCUUCGCUUGCUGCAAUUCAUGUGCUGCUUGGCGCCACAAAAGGAGUAGAGGUGUGAUUUGCUUGCUUUGCAGGGAGCGGGGUCAUAGUCUGAAGAACUGUCCUGACAAAAGCGAGGGAAAUUUGAAGAAAUUUUGCUAGAACUGUGGUGAAUCUGGACACUGUCUUUCCAAGUGCCCCAAGCUCAUUGAGAAUGGGUUACAAAUUUUGCAAGCUGCUUUAUCUGCAAUCAGCAAGGACAUUUGAGCAAGAACUGCCCUGAAAACAAACAUGACAUCCCAUCCAAAGCUCCAUCUUGGCGCCAACAGUGGUUCACAUAGGUUUGCUCUUGAGAAUUAAGUUGUUAAUGAAGCUACUUUCCGUUGCCCUGAUGAGCUAGGAUGGAAACCACAGAGGACACCUAUCAUAUCAUCAGAUGGAAGCAUCUUACACGCAAGACAGCAAGCUUUCUGGUAUGGAGCUGAAUGGUACUCUGGAUUAUCAAUUGUUAAGUCUACAGGCUCUGAAAACAAUGGACUUAAGCAACAACCACUUGCAUGAUUCAAUCCCUUACCAGUUGCCAUCAAACCUUACCUAUCUGAAUCUGGCAAAAAAUAACUUCUCUGGUAAUCUUCCAUACUCUAUAUCCAACUUGGUUUCACUUGAGUACCUCAAUCUCAGCCACAACUCGUUAUUUCAGAAAAUUGGUGAAUUUUCUUUCAGAAUUGUAUAUUGUGUAAGGCCUACUGUAUAUUUCAGAAAAUUGGAAGCCUCAAUUCACUUUCAGAACUAGACGUAUCUUUCAACAACCUCACGGGAAUCUUCCUUUCUCAAUGGGCGCUCUGUCGAAGCUUUCUACCCUAGGCAACCCUUUCCAGUAGGGUCGCGCCCCUCUGGUAAGAGGGUCGCUGUUAAGUUGCCUGAUUAAUCCAUUCUUUCACUGUGUCUGCAUGUUGCAGUAGAUGCCAGCAGAUCAUGAAGCGCCCAAAUGGUGCUGAGCUACAGUACUAUCAGAAGCUGAAUAGAUUGCUGCUGGAAUUAGAGCAAAGGAGUGGAGGAGUUUCUGAAGAGAGCAGACCUGCAAAAUAACCGUCGUCAUGUCAGUGACAUGGCCGCUCAACUUCUUCCUCUUACUGCAUUGUAUCUGAACUGCGUCGACCUACCAACUACAUCACUGCACCGACUGCUAUACUGCAUCAACCAACCGAACGGCUAUAUGAAACGACACAAUGUCAGCCGUCAGAUAUGAAUAUUAACUUCAUAAAAGUAAUUGUAACUUGUGUAGGCUGGUUAUAGCUUGUGAUUUCACAUUUCAUUUGUUAGCGGCCAAGAUUUAUUUCUGUUAGUUUAUGACCACCACUCAGGAAAGUUGAUUGAUUCUCCAUUCC
Zea mays is the source of this 2450-nucleotide RNA transcript. It is a transcript of the gene named STRUBBELIG-RECEPTOR protein pseudogene, with no coding region annotated. The transcript has 17 exons. The record is from RefSeq and is marked validated. Lineage: Eukaryota; Viridiplantae; Streptophyta; Magnoliopsida; Poales; Poaceae.